CUGGCCUCAGCUCUGAAGUCCAACCCCUCCCAUCUGAGAGAGCUGGACCUGAGUGACAACAACCUGCAGGAUUCAGAUGUGAAGCUGCUGUGUGAUCUGAAGGAGAGUCCACACUGUAAACUGGAGACUCUGAGAUGGUGGCGAUGAGAGAUCAGCUCCACUGUCAGACACAAUGUGAAGUCCACCAUCAUCCCUGUGUGUUCCUCUGGAUCUGACAGUAUCAUCAUGAGUGUAUCAAAGACUGCUCUGUCCAUUUUUACUCUUAAUGAUGACAUGGGGUUGGACUGGGAGCAAAAUUCAGCCCUGGCAUUUUCCAUCUGGACGUUUCACAUUUUACAGUUUUGGUCCUUUAUCCAUUUCAUUUAUAUUUUAGACUCAACUCUGCUCUUUCUGUCUUUAUUUAAUUUGUUUCUUUCUGCUUCACUUCUGACACCACAUGGACAGAACCACUUGAAAGGGUGGGGGGAGAUGACAACAGUCCGUACCACUGCACCUGCCUUUCAGAAUAGGUAGUGUGUUUUGGGGCCGUGUAACCUCUGCUCAGAUGAGCUGUUCCAACAUCAAGUCAGCCAAAACCAGCAGGUCCAAUUUUCCCCAUUUUGCUGGUGGUCCAGUUCAUUUGGCGUUUGCCAGAAUUGCCAGAUUACCAGUCUGAGUCUGUCUCCACACUGUUAGUCUGGCUCUCUGGAUGUGGACUGUGGCUAUCAGCCUGCCAUGGGGCCGCUGAUUACAGCCGUCAUUCUCCCUUCCUUUAACUGUAUGUUCCAAAUCCCCUUCACUACAGGAAACAACAACAACCUGUGAGCUAACAACUUACACACUGAAGAUGGCGAGUUGUGUCAAAGAUUUGGAUCGUGCAAUAAGGCGUGUCUGCGUUGUUGUUUCAGGGAAUUGUUUUAAAAAUCUACAACAAAUCAAACAACUUGUGAACGCACCUCAGAAAAGCCCCAACUCCGUCUUGCAGGACUAUCAUGCCUGAUGUGGAUCUGUUUCCUGACUCGGCCAGUCAGAGUUGAUAUGUCACAUCUUGUAACUCUGGCAGCAGCAUGCUCCAGUCACCAUGACUUAACUAAUGUACCGACCCGUUCCACUUCACAGGAGCUUCUGUGUUACUGUUGUCAUGACGAUCUGCUGGAGCCACAUACAGCAAAUCAUCUGUGGUUUUAACCGCUGAGCUCCUCCAGAGCUGAAUAUCGUCAGGCUUCACCUCCACAGCUCUUAUUCUUAUUCUUGUCUUUAUUCUAUGGAUGUAUAUAUUGUAGUAACCAUUAUAGCACAAUACGUAUUUUAUAUUUCUGAAUGUAAGACUAGUUUAUACAGUGUAAUGUAGCACAGUGCACAUAUCUGUAUAUUUUUACACACUCACAGACUCAGCACACUGAAGAUAUUUUAUUCUUACUAUCUUAAGCACUAGUGUUAAACAUUGUUAUUUCUAUUUUAUUGGAUUUUAUUACUUUAUAUUCACAUACUUCUAUUUCAUACUCCUAUUUUUACUUAUAAUUCUUCAGUCUUUACAUCCGAGCGGCUGUAACGAAUCACAAUUUCUCCUCGGGGAUCAAUAAAGUCUUUCUGAUUGUGAAAGGUGAAUCACACAGUGACAUACGACCGUUAAUAAGGAUCGGAGGCCCCACGUUAUGAUAUGAUCAAGAUAUAAUAUUAUUGCCAUUUUAAAUGUUUUGCGAUACGCUGAGUAUUAUGAUAACAUUUAUGUUCCAUAAAGUCACCCCACAGCUCGAUAUGCAGACACUUUUCAUUGUUGUUCGAACUUUUUGUUUUUUAAAAUGUAGGUUUCCCCUUAGAUUAUAACCUCCCUCCCUUUCUGUGAACAUUUCCCGGCAGUAGAUUGUUUCUUGCUUUGUACAUUAUUAUCGCUGUUUUGAACAAACAGUGGGUUUAUGUGUUCUCUGUAUCCCGCCUUGUUUAUUGUUCUUAUUGCUCUUUUCUGUAUUGUGCAUAUUGGCUGUAGAGUGCUUUUAUAGAUGUUUCCCCAGACCUCCACACAGUAUGACAGAUAUGGUAAAUACAGUGAACAGUAUAGGGUGUGUAAUGAUUUGUGAUCCAGAAUGUGUCUUGUUUUUCCCAGUAUUGCAGUGCACUUUGCCAGUUUUGAUCGUAUGUGGCUUACAAGAGAUUUCCAGCUGAUUUUGUGGUCCAGGAUCACCUAGAAAUUUUAUUUCAUAAACUUGUUCUAUUUUUAUAUUAUCUAUUGUCAGUUCUACAUUGAAAUCAGGUUUAUUUUUUUUUCCAUAAAUUUUGUUUUGCUUAGAUUUAAUGAUAAUUUAUUUCUGUCAAACCACAGUUUUAGAUGGCGCUCUCUGUUCAACAAAGGGUUACAGGCACACUGGACUGUCUGUCCUUGAGCUGUUUUCUGUAAACCAAGAGCGCCAUCUAGUGGGCUCAGAAAAUAAAUCAUUACAUUUCAAAAACUCCUAACUUUUCUAUCUGGACAAAAGUAUGUGGACAUCCUCACACAGCAGUGGUGGGAUGCAACUAAGUACUGUACUUGAGCUACAUUUUGAGCUCCUUGUACUUUCCAUUGACUUUAUACUUUUAUUCCACAUACCUUUCACCAUCUGUACAUCUUCUCAGGUUUUUGAUGAGCUUUACUUUAAUAUUUAAAUCUAACAGUGCUUUGUUCCCUCAUCUUGAGUCAUCUGAUCAUUUGAGUCUGAUUUUGAAUGUUUGCAUGGAGUUGAUCAAUAUUUAAUAAAGCAGAUAUUUCCAUGA
Epinephelus moara (kelp grouper) is the source of this 2727-nucleotide long non-coding RNA. RefSeq lists it as uncharacterized. The transcript has 2 exons. The record is from RefSeq and is a predicted model, not a curated record. Lineage: Eukaryota; Metazoa; Chordata; Actinopteri; Perciformes; Serranidae.